Molecule: transfer RNA, 73 nt
Filed under: Bos indicus (zebu cattle)
Lineage: Eukaryota; Metazoa; Chordata; Mammalia; Artiodactyla; Bovidae
Also listed under: 1 other name
Rfam family: tRNA
About the family: Transfer RNA (tRNA) molecules are approximately 80 nucleotides in length. Their secondary structure includes four short double-helical elements and three loops (D, anti-codon, and T loops).
Source: Rfam by way of RNAcentral
UCUCUGGUGGUCCAGUGGUUAAGACUCUGAGCUUCCACUGCAGGAGGCCCGGGUUUGAUCCCUGGUUGGGGAA